This 504-nucleotide ribosomal RNA is filed under the name uncultured bacterium. Its description in RNAcentral is "bacterial SSU rRNA". It matches the Rfam family "Bacterial small subunit ribosomal RNA", at positions 28 to 521 of the family's 1533-position model. The record is from RNAcentral.
GAUGAACGCUAGCUACAGGCUUAACACAUGCAAGUCGAGGGGCAGCACAGUGUAGCAAUACACGGGUGGCGACCGGCGCACGGGUGCGUAACGCGUAUCCAACCUUCCCGUUACUCUUGGAUAGCCCUUCCGAAAGGGAGAUUAAUACAAGAUGGUAUUCAAAUUCCGCAUGUUAUUUGAAUUAAAGAUUUAUCGGUAACGGAUGGGGAUGCGUGACAUUAGGUAGAUGGCGGGGUAACGGCCCACCAUGCCUACGAUGUCUAGGGGUUCUGAGAGGAAGGUCCCCCACACUGGAACUGAGACACGGUCCAGACUCCUACGGGAGGCAGCAGUGAGGAAUAUUGGUCAAUGGUCGAGAGACUGAACCAGCCAAGUAGCGUGCAGGAUGACGGCCCUCUGGGUUGUAAACUGCUUUUAGUUGGGAAUAAAAGGGAGUACGUGUACUCUGUAUUGUAUGUACCAUCAGAAAAAGGACCGGCUAAAUUCCGCGCCAGCAGCCGCGGU